RNAcentral lists this ribosomal RNA (218 nucleotides) under Campeiostachys nutans. RNAcentral's name for it is "Elymus nutans partial small subunit ribosomal RNA". The stretch from base 47 to 218 matches the Rfam family "Eukaryotic small subunit ribosomal RNA", at positions 692 to 864 of the family's 1831-position model. The record is from RNAcentral. Lineage: Eukaryota; Viridiplantae; Streptophyta; Magnoliopsida; Poales; Poaceae.
GGAUUUGUCGGUUGGUCGGGCUUCACUGUCCGCACUGGCCUGAUGGAUUCCUACCUUCUGAACAACCAGCAUGCUAUUAAGUUAGUGCGUUGGGGAAGCAGAGCUAUUACCUUGAAAAAAUUAGAGUGCUUAAAGCAGGCUUUUGCUUGAAUAGAUUAGCAUGGAAUAACGGAAUAGGACGGCAUGGUUCUAUUUUGUUGGUUUCUAGGAUCACCGUA